UAAUGAUCUAAUACACAUUGCAAUUUUAAGCCUGAAAAGAAUAUUUGGUCUUCAAUCUUGGCAAGCAUACCUGUAAAGUAGAUGGUAAGGCUGCUGAUGAGUAAUCAAGUCAUAGCUGGAAUGUGACUGCCUGGCUGAUCUUCCAAGGUCCCCUUGCAUCUAUGUGUGGCCUUAUGAAUCAAUCCUUGCCAAUGGAAAGUGAAUGGAAGUGAUGUGUGUCAGUCCCAGGACUGACCAUAGACCUCCUGCAUGUGCUCCUUUAUGCUAUUUCUUCAGUUCAGGGUGGGAAUGGGAAUGCCCAGAGCAACUUUGGAAGCUAUAUGCUGAGGAUGCUAGAACUGCCAUCAGCCUGGGACCCUGAACAACUGUAUGAAACCAGGUACCUGUGGGUGGGAAAAAAACUGGCUGGAACUAUUAGAUGAAAGAAAAA
Molecule: long non-coding RNA, 430 nt
Filed under: Homo sapiens (human)
Lineage: Eukaryota; Metazoa; Chordata; Mammalia; Primates; Hominidae
Description: HSALNT0364501
Source: RNAcentral